This is a long non-coding RNA of Trichomycterus rosablanca, 760 nucleotides long. RefSeq lists it as uncharacterized. NCBI's taxonomy places the organism in Eukaryota, Metazoa, Chordata, Actinopteri, Siluriformes, Trichomycteridae. The transcript has 3 exons. The record is from RefSeq and is a predicted model, not a curated record.
UAUUCAGGAAUAAACUGGGCUCUGUAUGCUCCAAGAUUUGUAAACUUGAAAAAGGGGUGGCUGGCAAAAUUCAACCAGUCAGUAUGAGGAGACUUAAGUAGUAGUCGAAGUUUUUCUGGGGCUGAACAUCUGCAUGGAUGCCAGUCAGGAACACGGCCAUACUGAUGGUCACCAGCGUGAUCUUCAUGAUUGUGGGUGAAGAAAAUAAGGAUGAAUACAGCAGAUCUACAGAAGUGAGUCUCAGAGACCUCAAGCCUGAGGUGCCAGCCUACACGGCCCUUCCCCUCACCCAGACAGCCAAUCACGGACACGGAAAAGCACCGAACAAUGUUUCUUUUCAUCUAAACAUUGGCACGGUGGCUCAGUGGGUAGCAUUGUCACCUCACAGCAAGAAGGUUCUGCGUGCGAUCCCCUGGUGGGGCAGUCCGGGUCCUUUCUGCGUGACGUUUGCAUGUUCUCCCCGUUUCUGCAUGGGUUUCUUGCGGGAGCUCCGGUUUUCUCCCACUGUCCAAAGACGUGCAAGUGAGAUGAAUUGGAGAUAUAAAUUGCCCAUGACUGUGUUUAACAUUAAACUUGUGAACUGAUGAAUCUUCUGUAACCAGUAACUACUGUUCCUGUCAUGAAUGUAACCAAAGUGUAAAACAUGACGUUAAAAUCCUAAUAAAUAAUGUUACUUGUUUUUCUUAGUCAUAGGUUUGAACUUAUCAUUGCUCACAGCCACACGGUACAAUGUCACUCAAACUACCAAGUAACACCGUGC